This 460-nucleotide ribosomal RNA is filed under the name uncultured bacterium. RNAcentral describes it as "partial 16S ribosomal RNA". It matches the Rfam family "Bacterial small subunit ribosomal RNA", at positions 338 to 795 of the family's 1533-position model. The record is from RNAcentral.
CCUACGGGAGGCAGCAGUGAGGAAUAUUGGUCAAUGGACGAGAGUCUGAACCAGCCAAGUAGCGUGAAGGAUGACUGCCCUAUGGGUUGUAAACUUCUUUUAUAAAGGAAUAAAACGAGGCACGUGUGCCUUUUUGCAUGUACUUUAUGAAUAAGGAUCGGCUAACUCCGUGCCAGCAGCCGCGGUAAUACGGAGGAUCCGAGCGUUAUCCGGAUUUAUUGGGUUUAAAGGGAGCGUAGAUGGGUUGUUAAGUCAGUUGUGAAAGUUUGCGGCUCAACCGUAUAAUUGCAAUUGAUACUGGAAGUCUUGAGUACAGUUGAGGUAGGCGGAAUUCGUGGUGUAGCGGUGAAAUGCUUAGAUAUCACGAAGAACCCCGAUUGCGAAGGCAGCUUACUAAACUGUGACUGACAUUGAUGCUCGAAAGUGUGGGUAUCAAACAGGAUUAGAUACCCCUGUAGUC